Molecule: ribosomal RNA, 200 nt
Filed under: uncultured Glomus
Lineage: Eukaryota; Fungi; Glomeromycota; Glomeromycetes; Glomerales; Glomeraceae
Description: partial small subunit ribosomal RNA
Rfam family: Eukaryotic small subunit ribosomal RNA
Source: RNAcentral
CCAAUAGCGUAUAUUAAAGUUGUUGCAGUUAAAAAGCUCGUAGUUGAAUUUCGGGAUCAAUACAUCGGUCGUGCCUUGGUACGUACUGGUGUCAUUGGUUUCUCCUUUCUGACGAACCAUGAUGUCAUUAAUUUGGUGUUAUGGGAAGUUAGGACUGUUACUUUGAAAAAAUUAGAGUGUUUAAAGCAGGCUUUAGCUUG